This 253-nucleotide ribosomal RNA is filed under the name uncultured bacterium. RNAcentral's name for it is "partial 16S ribosomal RNA". It matches the Rfam family "Bacterial small subunit ribosomal RNA", at positions 524 to 776 of the family's 1533-position model. The record is from RNAcentral.
UACGUAGGGCGCAAGCGUUAUCCGGAAUUAUUGGGCGUAAAGCGCGCGCAGGCGGUCCUUUAAGUCUGAUGUGAAAGCCCACGGCUCAACCGUGGAGGGUCAUUGGAAACUGGGGGACUUGAGUACAGAAGAGAAGAGUGGAAUUCCACGUGUAGCGGUGAAAUGCGUAGAGAUGUGGAGGAACACCAGUGGCGAAGGCGGCAUCCUGGACCGAGAUUGACGCUGAGGCGCGAAAGCUAGGGGAGCAAACGGG